UGGGGAAUUUUGGACAAUGGGCGAAAGCCUGAUCCAGCAAUGCCGCGUGUGUGAAGAAGGCCUUCGGGUUGUAAAGCACUUUUGUCCGGAAAGAAAUCCUUGGCUCUAAUACAGUCGGGGGAUGACGGUACCGGAAGAAUAAGCACCGGCUAACUACGUGCCAGCAGCCGCGGUAAUACGUAGGGUGCAAGCGUUAAUCGGAAUUACUGGGCGUAAAGCGUGCGCAGGCGGUUUGCUAAGACCGAUGUGAAAUCCCCGGGCUCAACCUGGGAACUGCAUUGGUGACUGGCAGGCUAGAGUAUGGCAGAGGGGGGUAGAAUUCCACGUGUAGCAGUGAAAUGCGUAGAGAUGUGGAGGAAUACCGAUGGCGAAGGCAGCCCCCUGGGCCAAUACUGACGCUCAUGCACGAAAGCGUGGGGAGCAAACAGGAUUAGAUACCCUGGUAGUCCACGCCCUAAACGAUGUCAACUAGUUGUUGGGGACUUCAUUUCCUUAGUAACGUAGCUAACGCGUGAAGUUGACCGCCUGGGGAGUACGGUCGCAAGAUUAAACUCAAU
RNAcentral lists this ribosomal RNA (557 nucleotides) under uncultured bacterium. RNAcentral's name for it is "partial 16S ribosomal RNA". It matches the Rfam family "Bacterial small subunit ribosomal RNA", at positions 355 to 905 of the family's 1533-position model. The record is from RNAcentral.